ACAGAGUUUGAUCCUGGCUCAGAAUGAACGCUGGCGGCGUGCUUAACACAUGCAAGUCGUGCGCGAAGGUGGCUUCGGCCGCCGGAGAGCGGCGAACGGGUGAGUAACACGUGGGUGAUCUGCCUGGGAGCGGGGGAUAACCUGGGGAAACUCGGGCUAAUACCGCAUACGUUGCCGUGGUUGCGACCAGGGCAAGAAAGCUGGCCUCUAUUAUAAGCUAGCACUCCUAGAGGAGCCCGCGUCUGAUUAGCUAGUUGGUGGGGUAAUGGCCUACCAAGGCGACGAUCAGUAGCCGGCCUGAGAGGGUGAUCGGCCACACUGGGACUGAGACACGGCCCAGACUCCUACGGGAGGCAGCAGUGGGGAAUAUUG
This 372-nucleotide ribosomal RNA is filed under the name uncultured bacterium. RNAcentral's name for it is "bacterial SSU rRNA". It matches the Rfam family "Bacterial small subunit ribosomal RNA", at positions 1 to 366 of the family's 1533-position model. The record is from RNAcentral.